UUUUCUUCUUUUUCUGCACACGAUUAGAUUUGACAGCUGAAAUUUUGUUGUUGGUUGUUCGGUUCAAGUUUGUUUGUUUUGAAGAAAUAAAUACUGCCGUCGAGAAAAAGAUAUUCAACGCAACUGGCUUCCUGUUUCCAAACAUCUUCUAUGUGCACAAACGGUUCAGAUUUAUUAGCACUUUAUCAAACUAUGAAACAUCAUCGAAUGCCUAUCGAAGAUUCCGAACGAGCUUCCCGAAUUGGUCAAUCCCCUGCUCUACCAUCUGUAUAUCGAUAAAUUGAAGAGACCGCCAAGGGGACCAUGAUUGACAAACAACGAUCGCGUUCCUCCGCAAGCAUGCCACUUCUCUGAAAAAGAUUGGCCCUAGUAGGUCUCCGCUGAUGAUGAACCAAAAGAUUGAAAGAGACAGACAGAGGGACAACAGGCAUGCGGUAUAUCCAUCGGAAGAGAUGCUAAAUAUGGAUCCGUGGUUGUAUGUUGCGGCAGUAUAGGCAAAGGAGCUGAGGAAGCUACGAAAGAGUCGUAUAAAAAGUCGUGUGUCAGUGUUUGCUAAUUUCUGAUUUUACAUAAUGAUUUAAAUAUAUGAAAACAAACGAAUUCAAAUUGUUAGUAACAGUCA
RNAcentral lists this long non-coding RNA (622 nucleotides) under Aedes aegypti (yellow fever mosquito). Its description in RNAcentral is "lncRNA AAEL026656". Lineage: Eukaryota; Metazoa; Arthropoda; Insecta; Diptera; Culicidae. The record is from RNAcentral.